Molecule: unclassified non-coding RNA, 237 nt
Filed under: Basidiomycota sp.
Lineage: Eukaryota; Fungi; Basidiomycota
Description: partial contains small subunit ribosomal RNA, internal transcribed spacer 1, and 5.8S ribosomal RNA
Rfam family: Eukaryotic small subunit ribosomal RNA (bases 1-47)
Source: RNAcentral
AAAGUCGUAACAAGGUUUCCGUAGGUGAACCUGCGGAAGGAUCAUUAGUGAAUAAACCUGCUUGGGUUCGUCGCUUCGGCACGACCCUCGCAACUCACAUCCAUAACACCUGUGAACUGUAAGGAAGUCCAUGCCUCGGCUGGACUUUCCUGCCCUUUUUUUAUAAACACGUAGUCGUCUCAAAAGUAGUCUUAUUAUAAUCUAAUAAAACUUUCAACAACGGAUCUCUUGGCUCUC